GGACAUUUAGCUCAGUGGUUAGAGCAACCGGCUCAUAACCGGCAGGUCCCGGGUUCGAACCCCGGAAUGUCCA
This 73-nucleotide transfer RNA is filed under the name Caudoviricetes sp. RNAcentral's name for it is "tRNA-Met". It matches the Rfam family "tRNA". From Rfam's summary of the family: Transfer RNA (tRNA) molecules are approximately 80 nucleotides in length. Their secondary structure includes four short double-helical elements and three loops (D, anti-codon, and T loops). The record is from RNAcentral. Lineage: Duplodnaviria; Heunggongvirae; Uroviricota; Caudoviricetes.